This is a long non-coding RNA of Peromyscus leucopus (white-footed mouse), 729 nucleotides long. RefSeq lists it as uncharacterized. The record is from RefSeq and is a predicted model, not a curated record. The transcript is spliced from 3 exons. NCBI's taxonomy places the organism in Eukaryota, Metazoa, Chordata, Mammalia, Rodentia, Cricetidae.
GUGAUGAAAGGCUGACAAAGGCAGAUGAAGAGAGAAAGUAUUUAUUCUGGCUCACAGUUCAAAGGCACAGUCCACCAUGGCAGAGAAGCCAAGGUCACAAGAGUUUGAAGCAGUUUAUCUCAUGGCACUCAUGACCAGGAAGGAGAGAACAAUGAAUGCAUCCUUUGCUUGUUUUAUCCAUUUUAUAUACAGCCCAGGAUCCCAGCCUAGGGAAUGGUACCACCCGUAGCUAAGAUAUGAAUCUUCCUACAACAAUCAACAUACUCAAGAUAAUCCCUCAUAGACAUUCUAGAAUUACCUAGGAGACAAACCUCUGGGCACACCUCUGAAGCUAAUGGGUAGCCUUGAACUCACAGAGAUCCAACUGCCACUGCCUUCCGAGUGUCUCCUGGUGAUGACUACAUUUUUAGCAAGGAGUGUCAAUAUAAGGAAAUAAGCCUGGUAAUGUGACAUGUUCACAAUGACGGGAGCAAUGAGUGGAAUAUGCUCUUCUACCAAAGCCACACACCAAGUGUAGUGGAUUUUCUCUCCCUGAUGAGGCAAAAUAAAUGGCAACCUUCACCAUUAUUUUACCUGCUGCCUCCCCAGAACUUUUCUGGAGUUUACAUCUUUUAAAGGUUCACAAAUCGUUCCCAAACCAAUCUAACGCUUCCAGAUAAGGGAAGAAAGUAAGGAGGGUAAUAAGAGGUAAAGAGGGGCAAUCGAGCCCAAAUCAUUUAAAUUUCUGAC